RNAcentral lists this ribosomal RNA (480 nucleotides) under uncultured bacterium. Its description in RNAcentral is "bacterial SSU rRNA". It matches the Rfam family "Bacterial small subunit ribosomal RNA", at positions 28 to 521 of the family's 1533-position model. The record is from RNAcentral.
GACGAACGCUGGCGGCGCGCCUAACACAUGCAAGUCGAACGAGAGAUGAGGAGCUUGCUCUUCAGAUCGAGUGGCGAACGGGUGAGUAACGCGUGAGGAACCUGCCUCAAAGAGGGGGACAACAGUUGGAAACGACUGCUAAUACCGCAUAAGCCCACGGCUCGGCAUCGAGCAGGGGGAAAAGGAGCAAUCCGCUUUGAGAUGGCCUCGCGUCCGAUUAGCUAGUUGGUGAGGUAACAGCCCACCAAGGCGACGAUCGGUAGCCGGACUGAGAGGUUGAACGGCCACAUUGGGACUGAGACACGGCCCAGACUCCUACGGGAGGCAGCAGUGGGGAAUAUUGCACAAUGGGGGAAACCCUGAUGCAGCGACGCCGCGUGAGUGAUGAGGUAUUUCGGUAUGUAAAACUCUAUCAGCAGGGAAGAUAAUGACGGUACCUGACUAAGAAGCACCGGCUAAAUACGUGCCAGCAGCCGCGGU